GGGCAGGCUUAAAUGGCAGUUCGACGGGGAAUGCAUUUUCGAGGUGAUUAGUUUACUAAGAGCCAAGAUGUUGGCAUCUUAGUGGCGGACGGGUGAGUAACGCGUGGGUAACCUGCCUUAUACAGGGGGAUAACACUUAGAAAUAGGUGCUAAUACCGCAUAAGCGCACGGGGCUGCAUGGCCCAGUGUGAAAAACUCCGGUGGUAUGAGAUGGACCCGCGUCUGAUUAGCUGGUUGGCGGGGUAACGGCCCACCAAGGCGACGAUCAGUAGCCGACCUGAGAGGGUGACCGGCCACAUUGGGACUGAGACACGGCCCAAACUCCUACGGGAGGCAGCAGUGGGGGAUAUUGCACAAUGGGGGAAACCCUGAUGCAGCAACGCCGCGUGAGUGAAGAAGUAUUUCGGUAUGUAAAGCUCUAUCAGCAGGGAAGAAGAUGACGGUACCUGAGUAAGAAGCCCCGGCUAACUACGUGCCAGCAGCCGCGGUAAUACGUAGGGGGCAAGCGUUAUCCGGAUUUACUGGGUGUAAAGGGAGCGUAGACGGUGAGACAAGUCUGAAGUGAAAGCCCGGGGCUCAACCCCGGGACUGCUUUGGAAACUGCCUGACUGGAGUGCUGGAGAGGCAAGCGGAAUUCCUAGUGUAGCGGUGAAAUGCGUAGAUAUUAGGAAGAACACCAGUGGCGAAGGCGGCUUGCUGGACAGUAACUGACGUUGAGGCUCGACAGUGUGGGGAGCAAACAGGAUUAGAUACCCUGGUAGUCCACACUGUAAACGAUGGAUACUANGUGUANGGUGUAUUAAACAUUCUGUGCCGCCGCAAACGCAUUAAGUAUCCCACCUGGGGAGUACGACCGCAAGGUUGAAACUCAAAGGAAUUGACGGGGGCCCCACACAGCAG
This 900-nucleotide ribosomal RNA is filed under the name uncultured bacterium. RNAcentral's name for it is "bacterial SSU rRNA". It matches the Rfam family "Bacterial small subunit ribosomal RNA", at positions 40 to 932 of the family's 1533-position model. The record is from RNAcentral.